GACGGAGGGUGCGAGCGUUGUCCGGAAUCACUGGGCGUAAAGGGCGCGUAGGCGGCCCCGCAAGUCGGGCGUGAAAGCCCGGGGCUCAACCCCGGAGGUGCGCCCGAGACUGCGGGGCUCGAGGCCGGGAGAGGGGGGUGGAAUACCCAGUGGAGAGGUGAAAUUCGUAGAUAUUGGGUGGAACACCGGUGGCGAAAGCGGCCCCCUGGCCCGGUCCUGACGCUGAGGCGCGAAAGCGUGGGGAGCAAACAGGAUUAGAAACCCCCGUAGUCC
This 273-nucleotide ribosomal RNA is filed under the name uncultured bacterium. Its description in RNAcentral is "partial 16S ribosomal RNA". It matches the Rfam family "Bacterial small subunit ribosomal RNA", at positions 524 to 796 of the family's 1533-position model. The record is from RNAcentral.